UUUUUCUUUUUCUUUUUUUUGGGCUGCACCUGCGGCACAUGGAGGUUUCCAGGCCAGGGGCCAAACUGGAGCCGCAGCUGCAGGCCUACACCACAGUCAUAGCAACUUGGGAUCCAAGCCGUGCCUGUAACCCACACCACAGCCCACGGCAAUGCCAGACCCUCAACCCACCAAGCAAGGACAGGGAUCAAACCCAUGCCCCCAUGGCUCCCAGCCAGGUUCAUCUCUGCUGCACCACGACAACCCCCAAGAAAUGCAAAUUUGAAGUACACUGAGAGAUCAUUUUCACUUACCAGACCUGCAAAAUUAAAAGACUGAGAAUAUAUUCACCUGGUGAGGCUGUGGGAAAUAAGAAUUUCCAUAUAUCAUGGGUUUGAAUGCAAAUGGAUACAAGACUUUGACUGAGUAAUCCCAUUUCUAGAAAUUUACCUUUUACGUACUCUUGCAAUAUGAAAACACAUAUGUGUAAGAUUAUGCUUUUCAGCAUUAUUUGUAUUUGAAAAAUAUUGGAAAGUACCUAAUAGCCCAAACAUAGGAGAUAACUUAACUGUGGUCCUUACACACAAUGGAGUGCUACGUAGCUAUUAAAAAAAAAAAAAAGAAUGAAGACUCUCCUUAAAGUGACAAGGAGUACUCUCCAGGGUAUAUUGUUAAGCGACACAAGAAAAAUGCAAAAGAACAAAAAUAGAAUGCUAACUUUUGUGGAAAAAAAAGAAGAAAUAAGAAAGUAUACAUGUACUUGCUUAGUUUGGCAAAAACAAAGCAUGAGUUAACCAGGGAGAAUAGAAUGUAAAUGAUAAAGCAAAUGGGAAAAAUGUUUUUAAAAUGAUAAAGUGUUAAAAUUGGUAAGUCUGGAUAAUCAUUACAUAGGUAAAUCUGGACAAAUAAUAUGCAUGAGUUUUGUGAGUAUUUCUCCAAAUUUCCUGUAAGUUGGAAAUUUAUUUAAAAAAGAAGAAGAAUGUUAAUAAUAGCAUAAUAAUAAUCAUAAUGCACUAUGACCAGUAAAAUUAUUCCUUUGAAUGCAGAAAUGGUGGAAAUUAGAACAUCAACUUUUAAAAAUCAUAAAACCAACAAAUUAAAGAUAAAAAGAAAUUAACAUAUUAGUUGCUAUGAAAUGGUCAUUUAAUAAAAUAAGGUUAUGCAACCAUUAAAUAGAAAUGCUAAAGAGAAUAAUAAUGCUAAAAUGAUAAAAAUUCAAUGAGGAAUAUUUAUUGAAACUUAAUAGAUUUAUGCUAAAAAAGUGAAACACAUUUAAACUAUUUCAGACAAAUCAGUUUAUAGUCAGGGAUUUCUGCUGACAGAAAAUGCAAUAAGACAGGAAAAUACAAUAAUCUGUCUAAAUAUUGGGGGAGAGGAGAUAAAACUAGUUAUUUUUCCCCAAAUACUGUGAGUACUGUAGGUUUUAUUUGCCUGUAAGUGAGAAAGAUUUCACUUUCAAUAGAACAAACUGAGUGAUGAUUUUAUAGUUAACUAAAGUAGAUCAGGCCCCUCUCAGUAAUUUCUGGAUAAUAAAGAAAAGAUACAGAGAAAACAUUUGCAAAGUAGACAUACCAGGCUAUUGAUUGUAAUAACAACAGGGCUGAUAUAAGAAAUGAUAAACAUUUCUUAUUACAUAAAAAUUAAAAAUUUAUAUGGAAGAAGAUACCAUAAGCAAGGGCAAAAGAUAACCAAUACCUUUUGAAAAAUUAUUUAUAAGGCAAAUGGCACAUAAAGGGUCUAUAAUUUCAAAGAGUUCUUACAAAUUGAAGAGUUAAAAAGACAAAUGACCCAGCAGAAAAAAAGGGUAAUAGUCAUGAAGGGGUAAAUAAUAGAAAACUGAUUACAAAUAGUCAAUAAAUAUGUGAAAAUAUGGAAUAAGAACAAGAUUUAGAGCAUGAGAUAUUACUUUGUUCUAAGACUGGAAAAAAAUAUAGUAAGGUCAAUAAUUAUCACUGGUGGAGAUAUGGCAAAAUAUACUAAAAUGUAAUAUUUUUAUUUUUUUUAAUAAUUAAAUGUAUUACUGGUAGAAAUAUGAACUGAUAAAGUAAUCUGGCAAAAGCUAUUAUAAUUUAAAAUACACAUGAACUUUGAUCUCACAAUCCCACUUCUAGGAAACUAUAUCUUAGAAAUAAAUGCACUAAUAUGUUAGGAUGUGGGUACCAAUAUAAAUAUUAUAGUAUUUUCUUAGUGGCACUAACUCAUUAGUAGGGAAAGAGCUGAAUAAUUUGCGGCACAUUCAUAAUAAGGAAUAGUGUGCAGAAUAUAAAAAAUAAAUAAAUACAAUUGCCUCCCAGAAGAAGGCAUGCAUAUACAUUUCCCAAUUCCUCCUGCUAAAUGCCAUUAUAAACUCUGGACAUUAUACACAAAACAAAUCUAAGGGGCAUCUGAAAGGUAGAGGGAAGAAUGCAAACCAGCUAGAGGCCUCAGGACCUCAAUGUGACCAAAAAAAAAAAAAAAAAAAAAAAAGAAGAAAGAAAGAAAGAAAGAAAGAAAGAGAAAAUGAUCUCCAACAAAAGCCUGCUCUCAGAGUUCCUGCUGUGGUUCAGAGGUAAUGAACCCGACUGGUAUCCAUGAAGACACAGGUUCGAUCACUGGCAUCACUCAGUGGGUUAAAGCAUCUGGCGUUGCCAAGAGCUGUGGUAUAGGUCUUAGAUGUGGCUUGGAUCUGGCACUUCUGUGGCUGCAGCCAGCAGCUGUAGCUCCAAUUCGACCCCUAGCCUGGCAACUUCCAUAUGCUGCAG
This 2720-nucleotide long non-coding RNA is filed under the name Sus scrofa (pig). RNAcentral's name for it is "lncRNA (ENSSSCG00000059333.1)". Lineage: Eukaryota; Metazoa; Chordata; Mammalia; Artiodactyla; Suidae. The record is from RNAcentral.